This 472-nucleotide ribosomal RNA is filed under the name uncultured bacterium. Its description in RNAcentral is "bacterial SSU rRNA". It matches the Rfam family "Bacterial small subunit ribosomal RNA", at positions 355 to 825 of the family's 1533-position model. The record is from RNAcentral.
UGGGGAAUAUUGGACAAUGGGCGAAAGCCUGAUCCAGCCAUGCCGCGUGUGUGAAGAAGGUCUUCGGAUUGUAAAGCACUUUAAGUUGGGAGGAAGGGCAGUAACUUAAUACGUUGCCGUCUUGACGUUACCGACAGAAUAAGCACCGGCUAACUCUGUGCCAGCAGCCGCGGUAAUACAGAGGGUGCAAGCGUUAAUCGGAAUUACUGGGCGUAAAGCGCGCGUAGGUGGUUUGUUAAGUUGGAUGUGAAAGCCCCGGGCUCAACCUGGGAACUGCAUUCAAAACUGACAAGCUAGAGUAUGGUAGAGGGUGGUGGAAUUUCCUGUGUAGCGGUGAAAUGCGUAGAUAUAGGAAGGAACACCAGUGGCGAAGGCGACCACCUGGACUGAUACUGACACUGAGGUGCGAAAGCGUGGGGAGCAAACAGGAUUAGAUACCCUUGUAGUCCCUGAGCGGGCUGGCAAGGCGCAU